GAUGAACGCUGGCGGCGUGCCUAACACAUGCAAGUCGAGCGAACAGACGAGGAGCUUUCGCCUCUGAGGUUGUCGGCGGACGGGAGAGUAACACGUGGAUAACCUACCUCUCAGACUGGGGUAACAACGGGAAACCGGAUCUACUACCGGAUAAUAUAUUGAACCGCAUGGGUCAAGAGUUAAAGACGGUUUUGCGUAGAGUUAUAGAUGGAUACGGGCCGCAUUAGCUAGUUGGUAAGGUAACGGCUUAGCAAGGCUACGAUGCGUAGCCGACCUGAAAGGGUGAUCGGCUAGCCGGGAAGUGAGACACGGCACAGACUCCUACGGGAGGAAGCAGUAGGGAAUCCUACGGAAGGGGGGAAAGCCUGACGGAGCACAGCCGCGUGAGUGAUGAAGGUCUUAGGCUCGGAAAGCGAUGUUGUUAGGGAAGAACAAAAGUGCAAGUACCCAUGAAGGUAUUGACGGUACCGAAAGAGUAAGCUCCGGCUAACUACGUG
This 497-nucleotide ribosomal RNA is filed under the name uncultured bacterium. RNAcentral describes it as "partial 16S ribosomal RNA". It matches the Rfam family "Bacterial small subunit ribosomal RNA", at positions 28 to 507 of the family's 1533-position model. The record is from RNAcentral.